This 253-nucleotide ribosomal RNA is filed under the name uncultured bacterium. RNAcentral describes it as "partial 16S ribosomal RNA". It matches the Rfam family "Bacterial small subunit ribosomal RNA", at positions 524 to 776 of the family's 1533-position model. The record is from RNAcentral.
UACAGAGGUCUCAAGCGUUGUUCGGAUUCAUUGGGCGUAAAGGGUGUGUAGGUGGCGCGCUAAGUCGGGUGUGAAAGUCACAGGCUCAACCUGUGAAUGCCGCUGGAAACUGUCUGGCUAGAGUCCGGAAGGGGCGAGUGGAAUUCCUGGUGUAGCGGUGAAAUGCGCAGAUAUCAGGAGGAACACCGGUGGCGAAGGCGGGUCUCUGGGCAGUAACUGACGCUGAGGAGCGAAAGCGUGGGGAGCGAACAGG